UACGUAGGUGGCGAGCGUUAUCCGGAAUUACUGGGCGUAAAGGGCGUGCAGGCGGCACUGUAGGUCUGACGUGAAAUCUCCCGGCUCAACUGGGAGCGUGCAUCUGAUACUGCAGUGCUUGAGUGAUAGAGGGGAAAGCGGAAUUCCUAGUGUAGCGGUAAAAUGCGUAGAUAUUAGGAGGAACACCAGGGGCGAAGGCGGCUGUCUGG
RNAcentral lists this ribosomal RNA (209 nucleotides) under uncultured bacterium. RNAcentral's name for it is "partial 16S ribosomal RNA". It matches the Rfam family "Bacterial small subunit ribosomal RNA", at positions 524 to 732 of the family's 1533-position model. The record is from RNAcentral.